GCGGCAGAAAUGGGGGCUCCUUUCAGCCCAGAAACAAUAAUGACAAAAUAUUUUGAUUAUUUUCGUUGUUUGGACUGAAGGGAGCUCCUAAUUCUUCUG
This 99-nucleotide microRNA precursor is filed under the name Asparagus officinalis (garden asparagus). Its description in RNAcentral is "miR319b stem-loop (aof-MIR319b)". Its record names the gene aof-MIR319b. It matches the Rfam family "MIR319 microRNA precursor family". Lineage: Eukaryota; Viridiplantae; Streptophyta; Magnoliopsida; Asparagales; Asparagaceae. The record is from miRBase by way of RNAcentral.